Molecule: ribosomal RNA, 513 nt
Filed under: uncultured bacterium
Lineage: Bacteria
Description: partial 16S ribosomal RNA
Rfam family: Bacterial small subunit ribosomal RNA
Source: RNAcentral
GAUGAACGCUGGCGGCGUGCCUAAUACAUGCAAGUCGAACGCACAGCGAAAGGUGCUUGCACCUUUCAAGUGAGUGGCGAACGGGUGAGUAACACGUGGACAACCUGCCUCAAGGCUGGGGAUAACAUUUGGAAACAGAUGCUAAUACCGAAUAAAACUCAGUGUCGCAUGACACAAAGUUAAAAGGCGCUUUGGCGUCACCUAGAGAUGGAUCCGCGGUGCAUUAGUUAGUUGGUGGGGUAAAGGCCUACCAAGACAAUGAUGCAUAGCCGAGUUGAGAGACUGAUCGGCCACAUUGGGACUGAGACACGGCCCAAACUCCUACGGGGGGCUGCAGUAGGGAAUCUUCCACAAUGGGCGAAAGCCUGAUGGAGCAACGCCGCGUGUGUGAUGAAGGCUUUCGGGUCGUAAAGCACUGUUGUAUGGGAAGAACAGCUAGAAUAGGGAAUGAUUCUAGUUUGACGGUACCAUACCAGAAAGGGACGGCUAAAUACGUGCCAGCAGCCGCAGUAA